RNAcentral lists this ribosomal RNA (761 nucleotides) under uncultured Prevotella sp. Its description in RNAcentral is "bacterial SSU rRNA". It matches the Rfam family "Bacterial small subunit ribosomal RNA", at positions 28 to 776 of the family's 1533-position model. Lineage: Bacteria; Pseudomonadati; Bacteroidota; Bacteroidia; Bacteroidales; Prevotellaceae. The record is from RNAcentral.
GAUGAACGCUGGCUACAGGCUUAACACAUGCAAGUCGAGGGGAAACGACGGGGAAGCUUGCUUCCCCGGGCGUCGACCGGCGCACGGGUGAGUAACGCGUAUCCAACCUGCCUCUGACUGAGGGAUAACCCGUCGAAAGUCGGCCUAAUACCUCAUGGCAUCGUCUGCGGGCAUCCAACGACGAUUAAAGAUUUCAUCGGUCAGGGAUGGGGAUGCGUCUGAUUAGCUUGUUGGCGGGGUAACGGCCCACCAAGGCUACGAUCAGUAGGGGUUCUGAGAGGAAGGUCCCCCACAUUGGAACUGAGACACGGUCCAAACUCCUACGGGAGGCAGCAGUGAGGAAUAUUGGUCAAUGGGCGAGAGCCUGAACCAGCCAAGUAGCGCGCAGGAAGACGGCCCUAUGGGUUGUAAACUGCUUUUAUGCGGGGAUAAAGUGAGGGACGUGUCCUUCAUUGCAGGUACCGCAUGAAUAAGGACCGGCUAAUUCCGUGCCAGCAGCCGCGGUAAUACGGAAGGUCCGGGCGUUAUCCGGAUUUAUUGGGUUUAAAGGGAGCGUAGGCCGUGGAUUAAGCGUGUUGUGAAAUGCAGGUGCUCAACGUCUGCACUGCAGCGCGAACUGGUCCACUAGAGUGUGCGCAACGCAGGCGGAAUUUCGUCGUGUAGCGGUGAAAUGCUUAGAUAUGACGAAGAACUCCGAUUGCGAAGGCAGCUUGCGGGAGCACAACUGACGCUGAAGCUCGAAAGUGCGGGUAUCGAACAGG